This is a small nuclear RNA of Vombatus ursinus (common wombat), 106 nucleotides long. NCBI's taxonomy places the organism in Eukaryota, Metazoa, Chordata, Mammalia, Diprotodontia, Vombatidae. The record is from Ensembl.
GUGCUUGCUUUGGCAACACAUAUACUAAAAUUUGAAUGAUACAGAAAAGAUUAGCAUGGUUCUGAGCAAGGAUGACACUCAAAUUUGUGAAGCAUUCCAUAAUUUU